GCCAGGUGUGGUGGUGCAGGCCUGUAAUCCCAGCAGCUCAGGAGGCUGAGGCAAGAGGAUCAAAGCCAGCCUCAGCAUCUUAUUGAGACCCUAAGCAACUCAGUAAGACCUUGUCUCUC
This 119-nucleotide small RNA is filed under the name Marmota monax (woodchuck). The record is from RNAcentral. Lineage: Eukaryota; Metazoa; Chordata; Mammalia; Rodentia; Sciuridae.